Molecule: long non-coding RNA, 227 nt
Organism: Sapajus apella (tufted capuchin)
Lineage: Eukaryota; Metazoa; Chordata; Mammalia; Primates; Cebidae
Exons: 4
Source: RefSeq, a predicted model, not a curated record
UAAAAGUCCCCUGCAAAGAAUUGAGAGAAGGAACCGUUGACAUUUAGGGAUGUGGCCAUAGAAUUCUCUCUGGAGGAGUGGCAAUGCCUGGACACUGCACAGCAGAAUUUAUAUAGGAAUGUGAUGUUAGAGAACUACAGAAACCUGGCCUUCCUGGGCAGACAAGCAACCUCAUCAAGCAGCUCCCUGACACCACAGCCAGGUAAAUCCACAAAGAUGGGGAAAAA